GACGAACGCUGGCGGCGUGCCUAAUACAUGCAAGUCGAGCGAAGAUUUUCUGCUGCUUGCACCUGCACAACUUAGCGGCGAACGGGUGACUAACACGUAAAGUACCUUCCUCAUAGACUUGGACAACUAUAGGAGACGAUAGCAACUACCGGAUAACAGCGUUACCUGCUGGGUUGUUGUUUAAUAGUUGGUUUUGCUAACAGUUUGGGAUGGAUUCGCGGUUUAUUAGCUUGUUGGUUGGGGAAAGGUCUACCAAGGCGACGGCGGGUAGCCGGCCUGAGAGGGUGACCGGCCACAUUGGGACUGAGAUACGGCGCAGACUCCUACGGGAGGCAGCAGUGGGGAAUAUUGCACAAGGGGCGGAAGGCUGAUGCAGCAACGCCGCGUGCGGGAUGACGGCCUUAGGGUUGUAAACCGCUUUCGCCUGUGACGAAGCGUGAGUGACGGUAAUGGGUAAAGAAGCACCGGCUAACUACGUG
Molecule: ribosomal RNA, 479 nt
Filed under: uncultured bacterium
Lineage: Bacteria
Description: partial 16S ribosomal RNA
Rfam family: Bacterial small subunit ribosomal RNA
Source: RNAcentral